AGGAAGAGGGGGAAAUACAGGAGGGUCGAAACCCAGAAAGGUAAAGGAAGAGGGGGAAAUACAGGAGGGUCGAAACCCAGAAAGGGAAAGGAAGAGGGGGAAAUACAGGAGGGUCGGAACCCAGAAAGGUAAAUGAAGAGGGGGAAAUACAGGAGGGUCAGAACCCAGAAAGGUAAAGGAAGAGGGGGAAAUACAGGAGGGUCAGAACCCAGAAAGGUAAAGGAAGAGGGGGAAAUACAGGAGGGUCGGAACCCAGAAAGAUAAAGGAAGAGGGGGAAAGAGAGACAGGAGGGUCAGAACCCAGAAAGGUAAAGGAAGAGGGGGAAAUACAGGAGGGUCAGAACCCAGAAAG
This is a long non-coding RNA of Brienomyrus brachyistius, 352 nucleotides long. RefSeq lists it as uncharacterized. The transcript is spliced from 3 exons. The record is from RefSeq and is a predicted model, not a curated record. NCBI's taxonomy places the organism in Eukaryota, Metazoa, Chordata, Actinopteri, Osteoglossiformes, Mormyridae.